RNAcentral lists this transfer RNA (75 nucleotides) under Alphaproteobacteria bacterium. Its description in RNAcentral is "tRNA-Asn". It matches the Rfam family "tRNA". From Rfam's summary of the family: Transfer RNA (tRNA) molecules are approximately 80 nucleotides in length. Their secondary structure includes four short double-helical elements and three loops (D, anti-codon, and T loops). Further hydrogen bonds mediate the characteristic L-shaped molecular structure. tRNAs have two regions of fundamental functional importance: the anti-codon, which is responsible for specific mRNA codon recognition, and the 3' end, to which the tRNAs corresponding amino acid is attached (by aminoacyl-tRNA synthetases). tRNAs cope with the degeneracy of the genetic code in two manners: having more than one tRNA (with a specific anti-codon) for a particular amino acid; and 'wobble' base-pairing, i.e. permitting non-standard base-pairing at the 3rd anti-codon position. RNAcentral also lists the same sequence under 2 other names. The record is from RNAcentral. Lineage: Bacteria; Pseudomonadati; Pseudomonadota; Alphaproteobacteria.
UCGGGGGUAGCUCAGCGGUAGAGCAACGGACUGUUAAUCCGUCGGUCGUCGGUUCGAUCCCGACCCCCCGAGCCA